This 28-nucleotide unclassified non-coding RNA is filed under the name Mus musculus (house mouse). Its description in RNAcentral is "piRNA piR-mmu-68069732". The record is from RNAcentral. Lineage: Eukaryota; Metazoa; Chordata; Mammalia; Rodentia; Muridae.
UUAUUCCGGAUGAAUUUGCAGAUUGCUC